Herpailurus yagouaroundi (jaguarundi) is the source of this 1336-nucleotide long non-coding RNA. RefSeq lists it as uncharacterized. The transcript is spliced from 3 exons. Lineage: Eukaryota; Metazoa; Chordata; Mammalia; Carnivora; Felidae. The record is from RefSeq and is a predicted model, not a curated record.
GCGAGGGGGCGGCGGAAGCGCCGACUCCGGCCUCGCACCGCACAGGCUAGCCGGCGCCGCCACCCGCCAGACGGAGCGAGAGCCGGGACCCGCGCUCAUCCGUGCGAUCGGCAAUCACCUGGCCCGCCUGCCUUGGUUCCCGCCCCGCGUUCAGCCGGUCUUUCCAAGUCUCGGGGACCGUUUCCCCGCGAGUAGAGCCAGAGGAGUAAGGCAGUGCCAAUCGAUGAGCGAGCAAGCGAACGCCGGCCGCUAGGUUCCCGCGAGCUGGGGAGCGGGGCCCCGCAGUGGAGCUCCGCCGCAGUCGGAGGCCUCCUCGCUGCCCCUACGGUGGUGUGAGGGCAAGUUGGGAGGCUGAGGAUGGUUGUGCGUGCGGGGAGAGUGGGUGAACGGCGGCUAGGAACUUGGGAGUUCCUCUCCCCUACCCCUGCUUGCGUCCGCUUACUAUCUGCGCAGAGCUCAGGGUGUGUGGGUGCCUUAGUGCUGCCGUCUCCGGCCGGCUUAGUGUGCCCGCGUGCUGAGAUGCUCGUGCUGGACACCCACGCUCAAGGUGCCCGGCGAGAGUCCAGCAAGCCUAGAGCGCGGUGCUCUUCUAGUCUAGCGUGGAAGCCGCAGGAAGCAGUUUGACUUCGCAGGAAACCCUCAGAAGACUUUUCAAAACCUUCUUCAGAAAGCUGUAAACUAACACCUGUCUAUGAAGUUAAGCGGAGUUAAUCAGUCUAAGAGGUGAUGAAAUCAGUGCCCAAUGUGAAGUCAGGAUCAGAGGGCAAAGAAGAGAACCCAGACAGCCAGACCUUUGCAGUAUGAAUUCAAGAUUUAUUCAAUAGAUCAUGAAUUGCUGGGUCCUCAGUCACUCCCAAUUUAAAACCCCCUGGAAGACUUGAGUGGCAGUUCCCUUUUAAGAACUAGUAGGCAUACUAUAUGUCACAGGACCCCAUCCGUCCUAGGCAUUCCUCCUGGAGAUCUGGAAUUGAGACACUGAAAGGCAGAAACCGACGAUGAGUGGCUACACUGAAGGUCACACAGAGCGAGAUCCAGAGUUGGCACUGUGACAAGACAAAGGCACCUGCAGACUGAACUAUGGGGGAACACAGAUGCCCUGAAUAAGCCCUGAAAGCCAGCCCGCAGAGAGGGAGCAGGGGCAGAGGCAGAGGCAGAUGCCAGAGGGGAGCAGAGCUGAGACUGGGGGGCCUGCUGAGGAAUGGAAGGGGUAACCUCAUUAUCAAACCUCCCAUUUACUUCUCUCCCUGUGUGAUCUGACUAUAUUUUAUUUCUGGCCUUUAGAACAUAUAUGAAAUCGUCUGUUUUAUUUUUUAAAUAAAAACCACUUUUACCUGGA